CUACGGGGGGCUGCAGUGGGGAAUAUUGCACAAUGGGCGAAAGCCUGAUGCAGCAACGCCGCGUGAGGGAAGACGGUUUUCGGAUUGUAAACCUUUGUCUUCGGUGACGAUAAUGACGGUAGCCGAGGAGGAAGCCACGGCUAACUACGUGCCAGCAGCCGCGGUAAUACGUAGGUGGCGAGCGUUAUCCGGAAUUACUGGGUGUAAAGGGAGCGCAGGCGGGAUAGCAAGUCAGCGGUGAAAAUUAUGGGCUUAACCCAUAAACUGCCGUUGAAACUGUUAUUCUUGAGUGGAGUAGAGGCAAGCGGAAUUCCGAGUGUAGCGGUGACAUGCGUAGAUAUUCGGAGGAACACCAGUGGCGAAGGCGGCUUGCUGGGCUCUAACUGACGCUGAGGCUCGAAAGUGUGGGGAGCAAACAGGAUUAGAUACCCCUGUAGUC
This 439-nucleotide ribosomal RNA is filed under the name uncultured bacterium. Its description in RNAcentral is "partial 16S ribosomal RNA". It matches the Rfam family "Bacterial small subunit ribosomal RNA", at positions 339 to 795 of the family's 1533-position model. The record is from RNAcentral.